This 497-nucleotide ribosomal RNA is filed under the name uncultured bacterium. RNAcentral describes it as "partial 16S ribosomal RNA". It matches the Rfam family "Bacterial small subunit ribosomal RNA", at positions 28 to 507 of the family's 1533-position model. The record is from RNAcentral.
GACGAACGCUGGCGGCGUGCCUAAUACAUGCAAGUCGAACGCUGAAGCGCGGCGCUUGCUCGUCUUUCGUGAGGCGCGAACGGGUGAGUAACGCGUGGGUAACCUGCCUUGUAGCGGGGUAUCACUAUUGGAAACGAUAGCUAAUACCGCAUAACAAUGUGUUACACAUGUCAUGUAUUUGAGAGUGGCAAUUGCUGCAUUGAAUGGUGGCCCUUCGUCGGAUUUGCGAGGAGGUGGGGUAAUGGGUCACCUAGGCGACGAUACAGAGCCAAACUGAGAGGGUGGUCAGCCACACUGGGACUGUGACACGGCCCAGACUCCUUCGGGAAGCAGCAAGAGGGCAUCGUCGGGAAUGGGGGCAAAACUGACCGAACAACGCCGCGGCCGUGAAGAAGGUUUUCGGGUGGUGAAGCUCUGUUGUCAGGUAAGAACGCGUUUGCGAGUGUAAAGUACACUCUGUGACGGUAGCUGAUCAGAAAGCAACGGCUAACUACGUG